UCCAACGGUCGUGCUAAAUAUUCGCGCACAAUCGUAAAUCAAGCGCCUCUUUCAUAUUUAUAUUUAUGAACCCUAGCUAGAUCCUAAAUCACCCGAACCCUUUUGUUUGAUUAAUGAGCGAAUUGCGGGUUUAUUUAGGGUUUCUCAAUUGCAGAGUACAAAACCACACACCAUACAUCGGCUGUUUCAUAUGUCUGAUCUUCAAAACCCCUCUUCGAGUAUCUAGGGUUUUUCAGUCAACUUGAUGUCGUCGAGAAUCACCAGAAUUUGCAGGGUUUUGUGAGAAUUGCGAGUUUAAGGUUUUUCAAUCAUGGAAUUUGACGAUCAUCUGACGUGUUCUUGGUCUGCCGUAGAAUUAAUUAACCGGGUUCGACCCACCAUGGCUUCAGUAGAAGUAGAAGUCUGGCACUAUUUUUACAUAUAUGGUUCCAAAAUUUUAAUUUUGGAUCUUAGAAUGAGAAAAUGUCCAGGUAAGCAUUAUUUUUCAAAGUUAUUAUGUUAAUUGAUGCUGCUAGGAAGAUAUAAGUUGGGGUGGAGUAAUAGGGUUGUGUUUGACCGGAAAGUUUUGCCGGAAAUGAGAGCAGGGAUGGAGUGGGGUGGGGUAGGGUAGCGUGGGGUUGUGUUUUAACAAGUGGGUCCUAGAAUACAAUCUUUUAAAUUUCCAUGGUUUUUUAAUAUAAUUGAAACAAGGGUAAUUCAAGUAUUUCAUUAAAAACUUAACGGUAAAAUCAACAGUGUUAGGAGACUGGACUGAAAUGGUUACGGAAGUGAAACCACAGGGACUGAAAUAGUGAUUUUUGACAAACCACAGGGACGAAAACAGUAAUUAACUCAUUUAGAUAUCUUUUUGUUUUUUAUUAAUAAGGGCAUUAUGGUCAAUUCACGUGUACUUAACAGAAUAAAUGGAUGGGGUUAAUGGAGAUGGACUGAAAUGGUUACGAAAGUGAAACCACAGGGACUGAAAUCGCAAUUUUUAAACUAAUGGACUGACAUAAUGAUUUUUGACAAACCACAAGGACGAAAAUAGUAAUUAACUUCAUUAAAAUAAGUAAAAAAAAAUUCUCACCUUAAUCAUGGAUGCUUGUUUAGGUCAUAUAGUUGUUAUAGAUGCUUUUGAAGCGGAAGAAUUUGCUGAGGUGGCAACGAAGCCACUGAAAGCCCUUCCAUAUGACACACCUGGUUGAAGUUUAUGGCAUUUGAGUACCCCAUAAGGGGUCCCAGCUCAGUUGUUGGCAGAUUUUUUGACGUGUUGAAAUUUAUCGUCAAAGAGGUGCCCUAAUCGACCUCUCAGGAAAACCAUGGAGCCCUGUAUGACAUAGCUUGGACCAAUCCCGUCGUUGAUCAAGACGCUAGAUUCCGGUGAUUUGGAUUCUCAAUUCGCCGGACUCUACUCGCUUCUUAAUAUUGGAAUCGGCAACGACUGCGUAAUCGAUACAUCAGUAAGAGGGCAAUUGAUGGUGGCUGGGUAUUUUGGAGAUUUCACAUGCUCAGCCUUUUGGUCGGUCGGAUACGGUUUCUGAUAUAAGCUGAUAAGGCUGUGAUGAGUUUAAUAAUCUGAGUAAAAUACCGGAUGAAGAUGUCGCUUUGGCGUGGCGAGGUUAGAGGAUGGUGGGUGUUGACCUGCAACCUCCCUUGCAGCCAUUGUGGCGUUAUCGUUUCACCAUCUCUGAGCCUCAAUGAAACUUUUGUACUUUUAAAUACUGAAGUGGCAAUGAAGAAUAAACUUCUUGGGUAAUAGAGUAAUAUUAUCUAAUAAUAGAUUAAGGGAAUGAAUUGCAACUUGAGGACGUGUCUGGGCUUUAGUGAUUGCUAGGGGUGGUGUUUGGGCUUCCUAGGCGGUGAAGUCUUUUAGGAAAUUGAGUAGACACAGUUGGGAUUCCGGGAUUCUUCCAAGGCAACUCACAUGUGCUAAUUUUAUGGAAUUGCAUAGAAGUCUUCAAUGGAACCAUCGAUUUUUAAGGCUAAAGACUUCAAUUUAACUCGAGGUUACCAUUUAACAAUGAAAAGCAUCAUCAUCUUGGUGUCACUUUUGUUAUUUACUAUUGUUUUUAAACGAGUUCAGAUCUUUUUGUUAAUAUUGUAAAAUUACUUCACUAUAUGCCUUUUGGCAGCUUAUUCCUUUUUGCUGCAAAGAGGUUUAGGCGCACUACAUGCAAAAAUCAUAUAAUUCCCCUAAACCCUGAUGAUAUAUCAAAAGGGAAUGAAAUCAUGGCUUGCAACAACUCUAUGAAGGUAAAAAGAGCAAGGGACGACACCUAAUGGCAUCUAUACAUUUAUUGUCUACUAUAAAUCACAUUGGACGCUGCAAAAGACCACUGAAAAUCAACAUCUUGCACACCCCCAUACGUAAAGGCGUAUUGUAAUCGCACAACGUGCGUCGAUGAACAACACUAGUUAUCUUUUAAAAUGCAAACUUUAUACCUAUUUAUAGAAAUAGCAAUUUCAACCAUUUGAUAAUGAGUUGGUUGAUGAGGGACUGGGGUUAUAUUUAGACCUGGCAAAAUCAACCCAUACAUUCAACUUUGGGUUAGGAUGGGUAUUAUUUUUGUAGUAGAUGGGUUAAGUUGG
This is a long non-coding RNA of Helianthus annuus (common sunflower), 2568 nucleotides long. RefSeq lists it as uncharacterized. Lineage: Eukaryota; Viridiplantae; Streptophyta; Magnoliopsida; Asterales; Asteraceae. The record is from RefSeq and is a predicted model, not a curated record. The transcript has 6 exons.